RNAcentral lists this ribosomal RNA (274 nucleotides) under uncultured bacterium. RNAcentral's name for it is "partial 16S ribosomal RNA". It matches the Rfam family "Bacterial small subunit ribosomal RNA", at positions 523 to 796 of the family's 1533-position model. The record is from RNAcentral.
AUACGAAGGGGGCUAGCGUUGUUCGGAAUUACUGGGCGUAAAGCGCGCGUAGGCGGAUUGGUCAGUUAGGGGUGAAAUCCCAGGGCUUAACCCUGGAACUGCCUCUAAUACUGCCAGUCUUGAGUUCGGGAGAGGUGAGUGGAAUUCCUAGUGUAGAGGUGAAAUUCGUAGAUAUUAGGAAGAACACCAGUGGCGAAGGCGGCUCACUGGCCCGAUACUGACGCUGAGGCGCGAAAGCGUGGGGAGUAAACAGGAUUAGAAACCCCAGUAGUCC